Lagopus muta (rock ptarmigan) is the source of this 1329-nucleotide long non-coding RNA. RefSeq lists it as uncharacterized. Lineage: Eukaryota; Metazoa; Chordata; Aves; Galliformes; Phasianidae. The record is from RefSeq and is a predicted model, not a curated record. The transcript has 2 exons.
CCCUGCUGCUGCCAUCCUGCACCAGCUUGUCCAUCGUUCCUUCAGUCUCUUCUGACACAGGAUGAGGGGAAAGAAUGGAGAGAGAGAGCAAAGAAAAAGGCGGGGAAAAGGCGGGGAAAAGGCUGCUGCGGACCAAUGAGAUGCUGGCGGAGGCGGGACGGAGCUGCCGAUGACCAAUCACAGGCAGGCGAAGGCGGGACGGCGCUGCCUGUGACCAAUCACAGGCUGACGAGGGCGGGAUGGCGCUGCCGCUGACCAAUGAUAGGCUGGCGGAGGCGGGACGGCGUUGUCGAGAACCAAUGAGAGGCUGGCGGAGGAGGGACGGCGCUGCCGAUGACCAAUCACUUACAGGCGAGGGCGGGACGGCGCUGCCGAUGACCAAUCACAGGCGGGCGAGGGCGGGACGGCGCUGCCGAUGACCAAUCACAGGCUGACGAGGGCGGGACAGCGCUGCCGAUGACCAAUGAGAGGCUAACGAGGGCGGGACGGCGCGACCGGUGACCAAUCACAGGCUGACGAGGGCGGGACAGCGCUGCCGAUGACCAAUCACUGGCUGAAGAGGGCGGGACGGCGCGGCCGGUGACCAAUCACAGGCUGACGAGGGCGGGACAGCGCUGCCGCUGACCAAUCACUGGCUGAAGAGGGCGGGACGGCGCGACCGGUGACCAAUCACAGGCUGACGAGGGCGGGACAGCGCUGCCGCUGACCAAUCACUGGCUGAAGAGGGCGGGACGGCGCGGCCGGUGACCAAUGAGAGCCUGGCGGGAGAGGGACAGUGCUGCCCUUGACCAACGAGAGGUGUCACUUACCCCUCUCCAAGAAUCAAGGCGCAGACAUUACAGCAACUGAGGGGGUGCCAAAAGGCAAACAGCAUCUGGCGGGGUACUUGGCACUUGGGGAAAGCAUGAAGAUACCUUUAUGUCCUGGAACGCCCACACCUUGACCAGGAACAGGACACGCUCACUGCGGAACCUUGGACGCCCCAAAACGCCUGCUACGUCUGGUGGUGGAGUCGCCAAUCCUACCAAGAAAGAAGAAAGCCUCACACGCGGUCCUCAACAAAGUGGGUUAGAGAAGAAAGGUGGGCACUGUACAAACCCCAAAACGAGGACAGCACUCAGCAGAAGCCUGUUUAGGAGAUACCUCUUCUUUUGGCACCUCACUUGGUCACAAGUGUGCCCGGGGGUCAUGGGAACUCCAGCGAGGCACCGCCAGGCAACAUGGAAAAAAGAGAAGAGAAACAGAACACAAGUGAAGCAAAUACUACAGAAGCCAAAAUGAAUUGAACCUGCCAUUUAUUCAGAGCAAAAAGAAAAAAAAAAGAAGAGA